RNAcentral lists this ribosomal RNA (512 nucleotides) under uncultured bacterium. Its description in RNAcentral is "partial 16S ribosomal RNA". It matches the Rfam family "Bacterial small subunit ribosomal RNA", at positions 28 to 523 of the family's 1533-position model. The record is from RNAcentral.
GACGAACGCUGGCGGCGUGCCUAAUACAUGCAAGUCGAGCGGACAGAAGGGAGCUUGCUCCCGGAUGUUAGCGGCGGACGGGUGAGUAACACGUGGGUAACCUGCCUGUAAGACUGGGAUAACUCCGGGAAACCGGAGCUAAUACCGGAUAGUUCCUUGAACCGCAUGGUUCAAGGAUGAAAGACGGUUUCGGCUGUCACUUACAGAUGGACCCGCGGCGCAUUAGCUAGUUGGUGGGGUAAUGGCUCACCAAGGCGACGAUGCGUAGCCGACCUGGGAGGGUGAUCGGCCACACUGGGACUGAGACACGGCCCAGACUCCUACGGGAGGCAGCAGUAGGGAAUCUUCCGCAAUGGACGAAAGUCUGACGGAGCAACGCCGCGUGAGUGAUGAAGGUUUUCGGAUCGUAAAGCUCUGUUGUUAGGGAAGAACAAGUGCGAGAGUAACUGCUCGCACCUUGACGGUGCCUAACCAGAAAGCCACGGCUAACUACGUGCCAGCAGCAGCCGCGG